This 77-nucleotide transfer RNA is filed under the name Candidatus Cryosericum odellii. Its description in RNAcentral is "tRNA-Arg". It matches the Rfam family "tRNA". From Rfam's summary of the family: Transfer RNA (tRNA) molecules are approximately 80 nucleotides in length. Their secondary structure includes four short double-helical elements and three loops (D, anti-codon, and T loops). Further hydrogen bonds mediate the characteristic L-shaped molecular structure. tRNAs have two regions of fundamental functional importance: the anti-codon, which is responsible for specific mRNA codon recognition, and the 3' end, to which the tRNAs corresponding amino acid is attached (by aminoacyl-tRNA synthetases). tRNAs cope with the degeneracy of the genetic code in two manners: having more than one tRNA (with a specific anti-codon) for a particular amino acid; and 'wobble' base-pairing, i.e. permitting non-standard base-pairing at the 3rd anti-codon position. Lineage: Bacteria; Pseudomonadati; Candidatus Cryosericota; Candidatus Cryosericia; Candidatus Cryosericales; Candidatus Cryosericaceae. RNAcentral also lists the same sequence under 1 other name. The record is from RNAcentral.
GCGCCCAUAGCUCAAUUGGAUAGAGCUGCGGACUUCGGAUCCGCGGGUUGCAGGUUCAACUCCUGCUGGGCGCGCCA